This 398-nucleotide ribosomal RNA is filed under the name uncultured bacterium. RNAcentral describes it as "bacterial SSU rRNA". It matches the Rfam family "Bacterial small subunit ribosomal RNA", at positions 358 to 773 of the family's 1533-position model. The record is from RNAcentral.
GGAAUAUUGCCCAAUGGGUGAAACCCUGAGGCAGCAACGCCGCGUGAACGAAGAAGGCCUUAGGGUCGUAAAGUUCUUUUCUGAGGGAAGAUAGUGACGGUACCUCAGGAAUAAGUCCCGGCUAACUAAGUGCCAGCAGCCGCGGUAAAACGUAGGGGACAAGCGUUAUCCGGAUUUACUGGGCGUAAAGCGCCCGUAGGCAGCUUGGCAAGUUGGACGUGAAAGCUCCCGGCUUAACUGGGAGAGGCCGUACAAAACUGCGAAGCUAGAGGUUGGAAGAGGAGAGCGGAAUUCCCGGUGUAGUGGUGGAAUGCGUAGAUAUCGGGAGGAACACCAGUGGCGAAAGCGGCUCUCUGGUCCAGACCUGACGCUGAGGGGCGAAAGCGUGGGGAGCAAAC